AAAUGGUGGAUCAUUGUUAUUUUUCUAUGGAUACUGCGUGGGUUACCAAACCCGUUUUUUUGACCCGAAUAUAUAAGCAACUAAACAACCCUAAUUUUCAUAAUCCCUCAUUCAAUCACGUCGUAAUAGUCUAAACCAAGAACACUUUCAUUCAUCAUCAAUCCUUCUCAUCAAUACAUUGAAUCUUCAAACUGGGAAUCAGUGUUGAGACUUUUGUCUCCGAUCUUCUGUUUUACGGUUAAGUUCAUCUGUUCUCUCAUUCAUAUUUGUGUUUCAACGGAGUUUUGAUGUCUUAGAACCCUAACUUCAAUCGCUUCAAUAUGUCAUUCCCUUCAAGCCUAUAAAAUAUGUUCCAUCAUUCUCCGUUUACACCAAUCGAAUUGGUUCAGGUAUGGAUGUUCAAUCUUUUCACAUUCCACAAGUAAGGUAUGGUACCCUGUCUCCCAUCCUAGGGUUUCGUUUUUGAUGUUCGUCAUUACUUCUUUAUGCUACGUUACUCAACAGAUACCAACAAUUCUUUUUACAGAAUUAGGGUUUAAAUUGCGUGCUUCUGAAUUUUUACUCGGUAUACAUUAGGUUUAUACAUACUUAAUUGUUACUAAUUGUAGUUGAUCCGAUCGUAUAGACUAUGAUACAGAUGAUAUGUUGUUGAGUUUUAUUUGGUGCUUUUAUUCCUUUCGGUAUUUCUUAUGUUUGGUCUUUUUUUGUAGAUCAGGAAGAAAAUUAAUUUGGGACCAAAUGUUGAUGAGAGGGUUCGAGGUUUCAAGAUCAUUCUAACACUUAGGGAGAUGAAGAUCUAGGCGGAAAUUAAAGAUUAUUUUGCUGAGAAGGAUGUUUUACAUUAGAGGUGAAACUAAAGAAAGUAGAUCACAACCAGAAUAGGAUAUCCUUGUAUGUUAUUGCUAAGAGCCGGCGGUUAUCAGAAGGGAUCAGCAACCGAUUGGCAGAAACAAGAGGCUGACUUUAUGAGUGUUGAGUAUGAUCUUACCUCAAGUUGGAGCGACCAUAGAUUCAAAGAGUGGUGGAGAUAGGAACUUCAAAGAUGUGAUGCCCUUUGCAACUUGUCAUGAGCGUGAGGAUUUUGGUUUAAAAAAACGCGCCUUAGGCGCACCUAGGCGCAAGGCGACCUAAGGCGCAACCCAAAUCGCUUUGUGUGAUAUAAGGCGCAGGGUGUACAAAAGGCGCAGGUGAAGCGCGCUUUUUAGCCUAAAAUUUGAACUGAGGCGCAGGUGAGGCGCGCGCCUUUUUUACACGGGGUGUUUCUGUGCAGCUGAGUGUUGUAGAAUAGGCUUUUUAUGCUAUACAGUUCUGUUUUUUUUUCAUUUUAAAACAUAUUUAAAGCUUAAUUUUAGCUAAAUCAAAGGUAGGGGAUGCUAAAAACCUAUGGGAUAUAUAAAAUAAUUUAUAUAAUCACUUUGCGCCUUGCGUACGAAAAGCUCACCGCUUUUGCGCUUUGCGCCUCUGUUUUA
This is a long non-coding RNA of Helianthus annuus (common sunflower), 1469 nucleotides long. RefSeq lists it as uncharacterized. The record is from RefSeq and is a predicted model, not a curated record. NCBI's taxonomy places the organism in Eukaryota, Viridiplantae, Streptophyta, Magnoliopsida, Asterales, Asteraceae. The transcript has 3 exons.